This 1331-nucleotide ribosomal RNA is filed under the name Vibrio alginolyticus. RNAcentral describes it as "bacterial SSU rRNA". It matches the Rfam family "Bacterial small subunit ribosomal RNA", at positions 82 to 1409 of the family's 1533-position model. The record is from RNAcentral. Lineage: Bacteria; Pseudomonadati; Pseudomonadota; Gammaproteobacteria; Vibrionales; Vibrionaceae.
AUAACGGCGUCGAGCGGCGGACGGGUGAGUAAUGCCUAGGAAAUUGCCCUGAUGUGGGGGAUAACCAUUGGAAACGAUGGCUAAUACCGCAUGAUGCCUACGGGCCAAAGAGGGGGACCUUCGGGCCUCUCGCGUCAGGAUAUGCCUAGGUGGGAUUAGCUAGUUGGUGAGGUAAGGGCUCACCAAGGCGACGAUCCCUAGCUGGUCUGAGAGGAUGAUCAGCCACACUGGAACUGAGACACGGUCCAGACUCCUACGGGAGGCAGCAGUGGGGAAUAUUGCACAAUGGGCGCAAGCCUGAUGCAGCCAUGCCGCGUGUGUGAAGAAGGCCUUCGGGUUGUAAAGCACUUUCAGUCGUGAGGAAGGUAGUGUAGUUAAUAGCUGCAUUAUUUGACGUUAGCGACAGAAGAAGCACCGGCUAACUCCGUGCCAGCAGCCGCGGUAAUACGGAGGGUGCGAGCGUUAAUCGGAAUUACUGGGCGUAAAGCGCAUGCAGGUGGUUUGUUAAGUCAGAUGUGAAAGCCCGGGGCUCAACCUCGGAAUUGCAUUUGAAACUGGCAGACUAGAGUACUGUAGAGGGGGGUAGAAUUUCAGGUGUAGCGGUGAAAUGCGUAGAGAUCUGAAGGAAUACCGGUGGCGAAGGCGGCCCCCUGGACAGAUACUGACACUCAGAUGCGAAAGCGUGGGGAGCAAACAGGAUUAGAUACCCUGGUAGUCCACGCCGUAAACGAUGUCUACUUGGAGGUUGUGGCCUUGAGCCGUGGCUUUCGGAGCUAACGCGUUAAGUAGACCGCCUGGGGAGUACGGUCGCAAGAUUAAAACUCAAAUGAAUUGACGGGGGCCCGCACAAGCGGUGGAGCAUGUGGUUUAAUUCGAUGCAACGCGAAGAACCUUACCUACUCUUGACAUCCAGAGAACUUUCCAGAGAUGGAUUGGUGCCUUCGGGAACUCUGAGACAGGUGCUGCAUGGCUGUCGUCAGCUCGUGUUGUGAAAUGUUGGGUUAAGUCCCGCAACGAGCGCAACCCUUAUCCUUGUUUGCCAGCGAGUAAUGUCGGGAACUCCAGGGAGACUGCCGGUGAUAAACCGGAGGAAGGUGGGGACGACGUCAAGUCAUCAUGGCCCUUACGAGUAGGGCUACACACGUGCUACAAUGGCGCAUACAGAGGGCGGCCAACUUGCGAAAGUGAGCGAAUCCCAAAAAGUGCGUCGUAGUCCGGAUUGGAGUCUGCAACUCGACUCCAUGAAGUCGGAAUCGCUAGUAAUCGUGGAUCAGAAUGCCACGGUGAAUACGUUCCCGGGCCUUGUACACACCGCCCGUCACACCAUGGGA